RNAcentral lists this long non-coding RNA (307 nucleotides) under Manihot esculenta (cassava). RNAcentral's name for it is "long non-coding RNA (MESC_LNC004515)". The record is from RNAcentral. Lineage: Eukaryota; Viridiplantae; Streptophyta; Magnoliopsida; Malpighiales; Euphorbiaceae.
UCAAGACCUGUACCUGCUGUUGAUCCAAAGUUGCAUGAAAUCUAGAUCUAUUCUAAUCAGGUAUGUAGGCAUACAAUUAUCAGUACUCUUUUUAAGAAAUAUACAAUUAUCAGUACUCUUUUUAACAAUUUCUUUGAUAACUACUGUUCCUACAAGGAAGCCAAGGAAAUAUGAGAUUCAAUGAAAUAUGAGAUUCAAUGAACCUGAAAUAUACUGCUGAGGAUGUUGGCUACAAGAGCAAAUCUUGUACAAGAAAAAGUGCACAAAUCAAAUAACAGGUAUGAAAAUAAGAAAUCUGAUUACAAAC